CAUGUGUUUAUUAGUGAUAAUUAAUUUAUAGAUAAUUGCAUUUUCUGUCUUAUUAUUAAGCAAAUAUUAGAACGACACUUGAUUAGACGUAAAUUUCAUAAAAAAAAAUUGUUCCAAGUGAGACUUUGACCCUUAAUCACGACAGACACGUGACUCCCUAUUUCUAUGUUUAAAGUUUUAUCAUGUAUUUUAAAAGAUAAUUUUGGUUAACAUAUAUUUGACUAGCUUUCAAUUUUUAUAUAUAUGCAGCUUUGAAAACUGUGAAAUACGUUCAGUCCGCGUUUCUUAUGAAAGUGUAAUGGGAUUGGGAUCAGAUUUGAUGCAAAUUGGUUAUUAUGAAAUGAGUAUCCCACAUGGAAAUGAAGUCCAAAGAGAUUCCAAGAAAAAAAAUGUUUCAGUGGAGGAAUUGGAAGUCAUCAAUUAAUGGAUCUUUAACUCAGUUACUUCUAAGAUAUUAAAUACUGAUGAUAGAAUAUUAGUUCGAUUGGUUUUUCAAACAUGUACCCGCUAACUACUUUAAUUGUUUUCUUAGAAUUUUUGUCUUUAAUUUGGUAGCAUAAUAACGAAAAACAUUGUGAGAAUAUUAUUAAGCUAAACGUUGUUUAUAGAACGGCAGGUCGGCUUAGUACUUUAUAUUUGGACGGCCACCGGUCGGUAUUUUUCGUCGUUUAUUGUGAUUUGAUUAUUGCCGACAAA
Long non-coding RNA from Gossypium arboreum, 696 nucleotides. RefSeq lists it as uncharacterized. The transcript is spliced from 2 exons. The record is from RefSeq and is a predicted model, not a curated record. NCBI's taxonomy places the organism in Eukaryota, Viridiplantae, Streptophyta, Magnoliopsida, Malvales, Malvaceae.